Long non-coding RNA from Clupea harengus (Atlantic herring), 1104 nucleotides. RefSeq lists it as uncharacterized. The record is from RefSeq and is a predicted model, not a curated record. The transcript has 2 exons. Lineage: Eukaryota; Metazoa; Chordata; Actinopteri; Clupeiformes; Clupeidae.
UGUGUGUGUGUGUUUCAGAGCUGCAGCAGGAUGAGGUGAUUAAAGUGUGUGUGUGUGUGUGUGUGUUUCAGAGCUGCAGCAGUAUGAGUCCACUAAGGCGUAUAUGCCAAAGGCUCCAGAUGAGUUGGGGCUGCAGCAGGCGGAGGUGGUGAUCGUGGAGCAGCAGGUGGAAGGGUGGUGCCAUGGGGAGCGCAUGCGUGACGGAGCGCGAGGCUGGUUCCCCUCGGCCUGCGCCAGCGAGAUCACCAACCGCACCGCCAUGGACUGCAACAUGCGGCGCAUGGAACGUAUGCGCAAGGAGACCAACGUCUGACACACACACACCACCCACCACGGAGCGCAUGCGCAAGGAGACCAACGUCUGACACACACACACACCACGGAGCGCAUGUGCAAGGAGACCAACGUCUGACACACACACCACCCACUCCACCAUGGAGGGCAACGAGAGAUGCAUGGAGCACCUCUGCAGAGACCAACAUCUGACUCGCAUACACACACACACACAUCACCCAUACUGCUAGAGUAGGCCUAGAACAUGAGUGCCUAUGUAUGACCAACAUCUGACACACACACUCUUGAGACAACACCCUUCACACGGUCAAAAUGCGAGCCAAGGAAUACACUUCUAGACAAUUCACACCUACAUAUACAGGACCUGAAGGACACACACACACUCCUGAGGAGUCCCCACUGGAUGUAGAGCUUCUUGGUGCAGUCUCACAGAUGAACACACACACACACUCCUGAGGAGUCCCCACUGGAUGUAGAGCUUCUUGGUGCAGUCUCACAGAUGAACACACACAAGCGGGACUUUAGAUGACUUCCAACCCUGGUGCCAGGGCCUCAUUCAGGACUGCAGAAACACUAUUGACUGUGGUGGCCAUCCUAAAUGUGUGUUAAGACUGUUAUUGUUGGAAUGCAUGCAUGUCAUUGUGAAACGUUGUCACACACACACCUGAUGACAAGACAAGCAGCCUAGAAGCUCGACUGAAAUGAAAGAGUCGACACAUCUGGUAAACUUCGUCUUUGACUUUUAUUUGAGCUUGCCUUUUUGUCAAAAUUCAUGUUUGAAUACAUAAAAAGUUAUUUAAAAAUGUCAAA